This 950-nucleotide ribosomal RNA is filed under the name uncultured archaeon. Its description in RNAcentral is "bacterial SSU rRNA". It matches the Rfam family "Archaeal small subunit ribosomal RNA", at positions 1 to 941 of the family's 1478-position model. The record is from RNAcentral.
UUCCGGUUGAUCCCGCCGGACCUGACUGCUAUUGGAGUAGGACUAAGUCACGCUAGUCAAAGGUGCAGAAUGGAGCACCUGGCGUACGGCUCAGUAACACGUAGUCAACCUACCCUAAGGACGAUGACAACCACGGGAAACUGUGGAUAAUCUUCGAUAGGAAAUUUGGCCUGGAACGGUAUCUUUCCUAAAACCGGCUCGCCGUGAGACACGGGCCUUAGGAUGGGGCUGCGGCCGAUUAUGCUUGAUGGCGGUGUAAAGGACCACCAUGGCGACGAUCGGUAUGGGCAAUGGAAGUUGGAGCCCAGAGUCGCUAACUGAGACAAGGUAGCGAGCCUUACGAGGCUUAGCGGUCGCGAAAACUCGCCAAUGCACGAAAGUGUGAGUGGGCUACUCCAAGUGUCAUUCUUACGGAUGACUGUCGCUCAGUAUUACAAGCUGAGAAAGGAAGGAGAGGGCAAGGCUGGUGCCAGCCGCCGCGGUAAAACCAGCUCUUCGAGUGGUCAGGACGAAUAUUGGGUCUAAAGCGCUCGUAGCCGGACAUGUAGGUUCCUGGUUAAAUCCGACAGCAUAACUGUCGACCUGCUGGGAAUACCGCAAGUCUUGGGAGCGGGAGAGGAUAGAGGUAGUCAUAGGGCAGGGGUGAAAUCCAGUGAUCCUAUGGCGACCACCGAUGGCGAAGGCAUCUAUCUGGAACGUCUCCGACGGUGUGGGGCGAAAGCUAGGGGAGCGACCCGGAUUAGAUACCCGGUUAGUCCUAGCCGUAAACGAUGCCGACUAGGUGUUGUGACGGCCAAGAGCCGUUGCGGUGCCACAGCGAAGGCGUUAAGUCGGCCACCUGGGGAGUACGGUCGCAAGACUGAAACUUAAAGGAAUUGACGGGGGCGCACCACCAGGAGUGAAGCCUGCGGUUUAAUUGGAUUCAACGCCGGGAAUCACUAGUGCGGCCG